RNAcentral lists this ribosomal RNA (253 nucleotides) under uncultured bacterium. RNAcentral describes it as "partial 16S ribosomal RNA". It matches the Rfam family "Bacterial small subunit ribosomal RNA", at positions 524 to 776 of the family's 1533-position model. The record is from RNAcentral.
UACGGGGGGUGCGAGCGUUGUCCGGAAUCACUGGGCGUAAAGGGCGCGUAGGUGGUGGCUUAAGCGUGCGGUGAAAGCUCGGGGCUCAACCCCGAGUCGGCCGUGCGAACUGGGCUCACUGGAGCAUAGUAGAGGCAGGUGGAAUUCCGGGUGUAGCGGUGGAAUGCGUAGAGAUCCGGAAGAACACCGGUGGCGAAGGCGCCCUGCUGGGCUAUGCCUAACACUGAGCCGCGACAGCUUGGGAGCAAACAGG